CCUACGGGCGGGCAGCAGUGGGGAAUAUUGGACAAUGGGGGGAACCCUGAUCCAGCCAUGCCGCGUGUGUGAAGAAGGCCCUCGGGUUGUAAAGCACUUUCAGUGAGGAAGAACGCCUGGUGGUUAAUACCCAUCAGGAAAGACAUCACUCACAGAAGAAGCACCGGCUAACUCCGUGCCAGCAGCCGCGGUAAUACGGAGGGUGCGAGCGUUAAUCGGAAUUACUGGGCGUAAAGCGCGCGUAGGUGGCUUGAUAAGCCGGUUGUGAAAGCCCCGGGCUCAACCUGGGAACGGCAUCCGGAACUGUCAAGCUAGAGUGCAGGAGAGGAAGGUAGAAUUCCCGGUGUAGCGGUGAAAUGCGUAGAGAUCGGGAGGAAUACCAGUGGCGAAGGCGGCCUUCUGGACUGACACUGACACUGAGGUGCGAAAGCGUGGGUAGCAAACAGGAUUAGAUACCCGAGUAGUC
RNAcentral lists this ribosomal RNA (466 nucleotides) under Vreelandella stevensii. Its description in RNAcentral is "partial 16S ribosomal RNA". It matches the Rfam family "Bacterial small subunit ribosomal RNA", at positions 338 to 795 of the family's 1533-position model. The record is from RNAcentral. Lineage: Bacteria; Pseudomonadati; Pseudomonadota; Gammaproteobacteria; Oceanospirillales; Halomonadaceae.